CAGUGAGUCGAGAUCUCGCCCCUGCACUCCAGCUUGGCGGCAGAGCGAGACUCCAUCAAAAAAAAAAAGCUAGUGCAAACAUGGCAGUCUUUCAGCUUAGCCCCGCAGAAAAGAAAGUGAUUUUCCCAGGAACUCUUAUCUUAUGUAGUCUGAACUUUUCCUCAAAGCUGUCUGAUAGUGUCGUAGCCGUGACGGAGAAGGCCGUGGGGCCUGGAAUCUCCUUGCUGUGCUCUGUGGCCCCGGCCCUCUGUGGACGCGUGAUGCGAGAGUUUUUAAAGAGUAACUUUCUUUUGUCCUUCUUCAUGAUAUAGACCCCAGUCCCUCCUUUAAAAUACCGGCUCGUGCUGUAAUUUCCACUUUGCCUUUUGCCCUUUGACCAUCUGUGUGACAAGAAAGCCAUUCCGAUGGUUCAGUAAGCACCCGCUGAGGCUGGCUCCCCUCAGGUCCAGCUCGACGUGCUGGUGGGGACAGCCCACCCUCUGCUGUGUGCCAUGAUCCCAGCUGGAGCUGCUGCACACCCAGAGGGAGCCGCCUCAGUCACACGCCAGCAGACAGGUGCAAAUGGAGUGAUGCAGACAGAAAGAAAGCAAAUCACACCUCAAGAUUUAUUUUCUUUCUAGAAACACCCGCCGGGCAGCAGAGGUCUGGAUGGAUGAAUACAAAAAUUUCUAUUAUGCAGCAGUGCCUUCCGCUAGAAACGUUCCUUAUGGAAAUAUUCAGAGCAGAUUGGAGCUUAGGAAGAAACUCAGCUGCAAGCCUUUCAAAUGGUACCUUGAAAAUGUCUAUCCAGAGUUAAGGUAAGUCCCCAGGGAUCUGGGGUUUCACUUUGUAAGGGCUUAGAAGCCAGUAAGGCCAUAGAAGCAGCAGAGGGGAAAUGGAGGUGGGGCUGCAGGCAUGAGACUGGGCACCUGGGCCCCAGUGAGAGCCUGUGGUCUCACUCCAUGGUGUGGAGCUGAGAAUCUGCUCCCAAGUUGGCCUGCUGCUCUCUCUGUCCUGCAGAGCUGCCCUCCCAUGCUUCAGAGUCCCAGAGGCAGUCCCCGGGCCUCACCUUGUUUUUGGCUUGUUCUCCAUUGGCAAGGUGAUGGGCUGGGUGACCUGAAGGACUGGUGUCUGACAGGCUCUUCGAGUGACUGGGAGCAGUCCCCAGCCUCCGCAAGCAUGCAGUGUCUGCAGCCAGCCCUCGAUCCCCCCGCCAGGCGCCUUUGCAUGCCUCUGAUCUGCUGCGCUCACCCUUGCUGCUCCUGUGGGCCAGCAGAUAACGGCCCCCACGAGGCUCGGAGCACGGGGACCUGACCACGUGCCUCCCUCCUCCCAGCUGGGUUAAUCACAUGUGAAACGGAAGUAAUAAUGCUGCUGCCCCGCGUCCCUCCGGAGGAUUCAUGGCAGAAACACCUUUCUGAGCAUUAUUUCCACACCCAGCCUCUUGUUUUAAGCGAAUACGAGCUCCCCAUCUGGAGGGACCUGCUGAUAACCUCGUGAGAAGACCUAUAGAUCCGCUGGGGUGGAGGAGCCAUCUGCACUUCAUCUUCUUAAAGGGACUGUCAGGCAGGUCGUGCCUUAAUGCGGCACAUUCCUUAUUCUAAAUAUUCCCAGAGCAUUUUACAACGGCUCACAUAUCUCCAGCACAGUGCCUGCGAACGCAAGACUUGCCACCAUUAUCUUUCCGCUAACAGCUCCUUCAGAGCCCUUGUCACGGAGAUUUGUUGGACAGUUAGGUAAUGCGGCCUCUCUCUGUUGCUCCUGUUCGCUCACUUGGCUCUUUGGAACCGUUUCCUCUGCUUUUCAAGUAACAUGCCAGGCGCCAGGUGGCCCAUGCCCCCUAGGAGGAGAACAGGAGAGAACACAGCGUCCUUCUCCCUCGGAUCCCUGCCAUGCAGGACAGCUUUUGCUGGGGAUUAAGAGCACCAGAUGGUCACCAGCGAUGGUCACCUGCAGCGGGAAGGGUGCACUGGUCACAGUUGCUGGUUGCAGGGCCCUGGUCUUCUUCCUGCCAGCUCUGUCCUCUUGGCCAUGUGCACUCAACCCCAAAGCACCCAUUCUGCCUCUGCGUCUGGCCCCAGAAUAUGAUGUCUACACCUCCUGCCUGGUGUCCCUAUACAACAGAUUCUUAACUGUGGGCACUAAGGCGGCUGCUCAUCAACUCUCCGUCAGCCAAAGAGGGGUUUCAAUUCAGUGGAUUUUAACCCAACCAUGCCACUCACUUUGCUUUUUCAGUCACAGUUGACUGCUGUUUCUCACAGAGGUCACCCAUGGUUUGUAGUGACACUGGGCCCUGCACCCACUGAAGACCACAUCUGAGGCACUGAGCACCAUCCCGGCUGGCAAAUCUGCUUCCCCUGCCUGUGGGGGGUGAGGGAGACAUCAGCCUCGUGUUUUGUGUCUGUAAUAUCACUGCCGUUUACUGAGUGCCUCCUACAAGCCAGGCACUGGGCCGCAUGCUUUACACGAAAUGUUUUAUGUAACACUUGCAGCAGAUCUGGGUAGCUCGUAGCCUACCAAAGGGCAAAUGGAGCUUCAGAGAAAGUGAGUCUUGCCUGAAAGCCAGCACCUGGCAGAGGUGGGCUGAGGUUUGGAUCUGGUUCUGAAGCACGUUGUUCUUCCCUGUGGCUGUGGCUUUGUUCACAUUAGGCCACCUGACAAGUCUACCCACCUUUCCCGUCUUUACUGGAUAAAGGUCAGAUCCUAAGUGUAUUGGAAAGUUCAAGGCAACAGGAUCUGGCCACAUUGAUUUUCUAAAUGACUUCCAAUAAGACUAACAUUGAAGAGUAUCAGGAGCUUUUCCUUCCUUUCC
This 2791-nucleotide small RNA is filed under the name Pan troglodytes (chimpanzee). RNAcentral describes it as "processed transcript". The record is from RNAcentral. Lineage: Eukaryota; Metazoa; Chordata; Mammalia; Primates; Hominidae.